AUAGAUGUCAUGGCUAGAGGGAUCAGAAUCUAAAGAAUCAGAGAUAGGGUGAGGAGAUGUAGGAUCAAGUCUACAAGCACAACCUCGACUACGUCUGCCUUGGCCACGGGUAGAGGUACCAGCACAAGUAGUGGGGUGAGAGAAUCCUGGAGCCUGAGAAGCUACGGACUAUGCAAUAAGGGAAAGUCUGAUGGUGUCCAAAAGAUCCAAGGCUCUCGAUAUAGACUAUAUCAGGGCACUGAACUGAGUAGAAGCAUUCUCACUGGAGCCCCUGAUCUCUCUCCUCAAGAAGUCAAAGCCACUCUCUAAAACUCCUCAAAGUCUAGCUGCCUCUGCAGAUAGG
Molecule: long non-coding RNA, 343 nt
Filed under: Elaeis guineensis (African oil palm)
Lineage: Eukaryota; Viridiplantae; Streptophyta; Magnoliopsida; Arecales; Arecaceae
Description: long non-coding RNA (EGUI_LNC077111)
Source: RNAcentral